This 89-nucleotide transfer RNA is filed under the name Chlorobiota bacterium. RNAcentral describes it as "Chlorobi bacterium (bioreactor metagenome) tRNA-Leu". It matches the Rfam family "tRNA". From Rfam's summary of the family: Transfer RNA (tRNA) molecules are approximately 80 nucleotides in length. Their secondary structure includes four short double-helical elements and three loops (D, anti-codon, and T loops). Further hydrogen bonds mediate the characteristic L-shaped molecular structure. tRNAs have two regions of fundamental functional importance: the anti-codon, which is responsible for specific mRNA codon recognition, and the 3' end, to which the tRNAs corresponding amino acid is attached (by aminoacyl-tRNA synthetases). tRNAs cope with the degeneracy of the genetic code in two manners: having more than one tRNA (with a specific anti-codon) for a particular amino acid; and 'wobble' base-pairing, i.e. permitting non-standard base-pairing at the 3rd anti-codon position. The record is from RNAcentral. Lineage: Bacteria; Pseudomonadati; Chlorobiota.
GCUUGGAUGGCGGAAUUGGCAGACGCACGGGACUUAAAAUCCCGUGUUCCGUAAGGGACGUGCGGGUUCGACCCCCGCUCCAAGCACAA